AUCCUGCUGACGAGUCCUUAAUAGAAUGAAACGCGCGUCCUGGAU
Non-coding RNA from Schistosoma mattheei, 45 nucleotides. Lineage: Eukaryota; Metazoa; Platyhelminthes; Trematoda; Strigeidida; Schistosomatidae. The record is from Rfam.